AUACGUAGGGGGCGAGCGUUGUCCGGAAUGAUUGGGCGUAAAGGGCGCGUAGGCGGCGCGGUAAGUCUGGAGUGAAAGUCCUGCUUUCAAGGUGGGAAUUGCUUUGGAUACUGCCGCGCUUGAGUGCAGGAGAGGUUAUCGGAAUUCACGGUGUAGCGGUGAAAUGCGUAGAGAUCGGGAGGAACACCAGUGGCGAAGGCGGGUAACUGGACUGCAACUGACGCUGAGGCGCGAAAGUGUGGGGAGCAAACAGGAUUAGAUACCCUGGUAGUCCACACUGUAAACGAUGAAUGCUAGGUGUAAGAGGUAUCGACCCCUUUUGUGCCGGAGUCAACACAAUAAGCAUUCCGCCUGGGGAGUACGGCCGCAAGGUUGAAACUCAAAUGAAUUGACGGGG
This 397-nucleotide ribosomal RNA is filed under the name uncultured bacterium. Its description in RNAcentral is "partial 16S ribosomal RNA". It matches the Rfam family "Bacterial small subunit ribosomal RNA", at positions 523 to 918 of the family's 1533-position model. The record is from RNAcentral.